Molecule: non-coding RNA, 529 nt
Organism: Leptonychotes weddellii (Weddell seal)
Lineage: Eukaryota; Metazoa; Chordata; Mammalia; Carnivora; Phocidae
Source: RefSeq, a predicted model, not a curated record
AGAUCAAAUCAUCGAAAUCAAUGGGGAGAGCACAAGGGACAUGACACACGCCAGAGCAAUAGAACUCAUCAAGUCGGGAGGAAGAAGGGUCCGUCUCCUGCUGAAACGUGGGACGGGGCAGGUCCCGGAGUAUGGAAUGGUACCUUCCAGUCUCUCCAUGUGCAUGAAAAGUGACAAGCAUGGGUCCCCAUAUUUCUACUUAUUGGGCCACCCUAAAGACACGACGAACCCAGCUCCUGGAGUUCUCCCGCUGCCGCCUCCCCAGGUCUGCCGGAAGUAGGCGUCUCCCUCGAAGACGUCCUCUCUCCAUUCUCUCCAUCACAUCCAGCCCCACCCUCCGACCCUUCCCACCAGAUAGGCCCAGACCCAACUUGGGAUAUCAAAAGGGAACACGACGUUAGGAAACCAAAGGAGCUUUCAGCCGGCGGCCAGAAGAAGCAGCGCCUCGGGGAGCAGAGGGAGCGCUCGGCGAGCCCGCAGAGGGCCGCCCGGCCGAGGCUCGAGGAGGCACCCGGCGGCCAGGGGCGGC